This 583-nucleotide ribosomal RNA is filed under the name Furnarius rufus. RNAcentral's name for it is "partial 16S ribosomal RNA". It matches the Rfam family "Bacterial large subunit ribosomal RNA", at positions 1830 to 2620 of the family's 2925-position model. Lineage: Eukaryota; Metazoa; Chordata; Aves; Passeriformes; Furnariidae. The record is from RNAcentral.
AAGGUUAUUUUUGGAAGGGUGGAUGGCCUUGCCCAGUGACAGCAUGUUCAACGGCCGCGGUAUCCUAACCGUGCAAAGGUAGCGCAAUCAAUUGUCCCAUAAAUCGGGACUUGUAUGAAUGGCUAAACGAGGUCUUAACUGUCUCCCAUGGAUAAUCAGUGAAAUUGAUCUCCCUGUGCAAAAGCAGGGAUAACUUCAUAAGACGAGAAGACCCUGUGGAACUUUAAAAUCAGCAACCACUCCCACAAAAUUCUACCCCCACUGGGCCCACCAAUCCUCAGGAACUACUGGCACGCAUUUUUCGGUUGGGGCGACCUCGGAGCAAAACGAACCCUCCAAAAAUAAGACCACCCCUCUUAACUAAGAACAACCCAUCAACGUACUAACAGUAACCAGACCCAAUACAAUUGAUUAAUGGACCAAGCUACCCCAGGGAUAACAGCGCAAUCUCCUCCAAGAGUCCCCAUCGACGAGGAGGUUUACGACCUCGAUGUUGGAUCAGGACAUCCUAGUGGUGUAGCCGCUACUAAGGGUUCGUUUGUUCAACGAUUAACAGUCCUACGUGAUCUGAUUCCAGACCGGA